CCCUUAGAUGUUCUGGGCCGCACGCGCGCUACACUGAUGCAUUCAACGAGCCUAUCCUUGACCGACAGGUCCGGGUAAUCUUUGAAUCUGCAUCGUGACGGGGAUAGAUUAUUGCAAUUAUUAAUCUUCAACGAGGAAUGCCUAGUAGGCGCAAGUCAUCAGCUUGCGUCGAUUACGUCCCUGCCCUUUGUACACACCGCCCGUCGCUCCUACCGAUUGGGUGUGCUGAUGAAAUGUUCGGAUCGGCCGUUUGUCGCGGUUUCCGCGUCAUGUGGCUGAGAAGUUCAUUAAACCCUCCCACCUAGAGGAAGGAGAAGUCGUAACA
Molecule: ribosomal RNA, 325 nt
Filed under: uncultured eukaryote
Lineage: Eukaryota
Description: partial 18S ribosomal RNA
Rfam family: Eukaryotic small subunit ribosomal RNA
Source: RNAcentral